Molecule: long non-coding RNA, 400 nt
Filed under: Mytilus galloprovincialis (Mediterranean mussel)
Lineage: Eukaryota; Metazoa; Mollusca; Bivalvia; Mytilida; Mytilidae
Source: RNAcentral
GAGUGAAUCAUGUAAAGCUGUAUAUAUUCAUGACAAUAUUUUUAACAAAAUGAUUACAGUUGGUUUCUUUGUGGUUAAUAUCACUUCGACUAUGCGAUUAUUUGAACCUGUGUAUUUUGUUUGGUUCUUUGUUUUUGUGUAUGUUUUGUUUUGCAUUUGCAACUGCACUUUAUGACUGACCACUUUUUAUUUGUUUUAUGGGUUUCAUGUAUGCAUAGCUGUCCUGCAAUAAGGGAAAGUUUGUUUUUCUAUCCGUACAAUAUGUAUUUUUAUUGGAGUACACAUAACAAUGACGCAUUGGAAUUAAUUGUUUCGAUCUCAUUCACAUACCUUUGGUGAAAUAUUUGCCACUGACAAAUGGCAUAUACCAUACCAGAAGCAUAAUUUACUCUCUUUUAAU